Molecule: ribosomal RNA, 499 nt
Filed under: uncultured Glomeromycotina
Lineage: Eukaryota; Fungi; Glomeromycota
Description: partial small subunit ribosomal RNA
Rfam family: Eukaryotic small subunit ribosomal RNA
Source: RNAcentral
CCAAUAGCGUAUAUUAAAGUUGUUGCAGUUAAAAAGCUCGUAGUUGAAUUUCGAGAUCGGCUUACUGGUCGUGCUUUUGUACGUACUGGUAUAAUCGGUUUCUCCUUUCUGACGAACUUUAAUGCCAUUAAGUUGGUGUUUUAGGGAAUCAGGACUGUUACUUUGAAAAAAUUAGAGUGUUUAAAGCAGGCUCACGCUUGAAUACAUUAGCAUGGAAUAACGGAAUAGGACGUUUGAUUCUAUUUUGUUGGUUUCUAGGAUCGACGUAAUGAUUAAUAGGGUUAGUUGGGGGCAUUAGUGUUCAAUUGUCAGAGAGGAAAUUCUUGGAUUUAUUGAAGACUAACUACUGCGAAAGCAUUUGCCAAGGAUGUUUUCAUUAAGCAAGAACGAAAGUUAGGGGAUCGAAGACGAUCAGAUACCGUCGUAGUCUUAACCAUAAACUAUGCCGACUAGGGAUCGGAUGAUGUUAAUUUUUUAAUGACUCAUUCGGCGCCUUACG